UUCCUUCUCCUCCUCCUUGGUGCGGCAAGGGUCUAGGGACAGGUUUAGAGCCUUAGGGUAUGGAUGCAUGGUAUGGAGGGAUGUAGUAGUGUUUAGGGGAAGGGAAUGGUGCGGCAAAGGUGUGGAGAGAGUUUGGACGAAUUUCUGGAGUGAUUUGUGAAUUGUGGUGAGUGGUGAUCUGAUUUAGGGGUUAAUAGGAGUAUAUAUAGGCACUUAAAACCCUAGGGUAAUCAGAUAUGGACUUGGAUAACCCAAAUCACAAGGAAAUAGGUCUAAACAAUCAGAUUUUGCAAGGGAAAAGGGGGUCCUAGGUGCGGCAGGGAUAGGAUAAGGUGAUAAGGUUUCUAGAAUGCCUUGCAAGGCAAGGAACUAGGCAUCUAGAAGCUAGGGUGCGGCACCAAUGUAGGGAUUUAAGGGAGAGGGCUUCUAGAAAGCCCCAAAACUGAUAGGAAAUUGCAUGAAAUCCACGGCAAGGAUGUAAACUUUCUAGAAACUUCUCAUUUGUGUCCUACAACACUUAGGAGUCCUUCUAGCAUUAGGAAAACAUGUCUCAAUCCUCCCUUGACUUGGAAUUCUUCUCCUUCUUGGAUUUGGAAAACUUCUUUGUUGCUGAAACUUGAUGCCAUUUGGAUUUAACUUUCCUACUUCAAGUAGGAAACCUUGUUUGAGUAGGAAUCUUCAUCUUCAAGGAAUCCUAAUUCAACUAGGAAACCCAUUUUGACUAGGAAUCCUAAUUCAACUAGGAUUCCAUCUUCACUUAGGCGCUUUCCUACUUUGACUAGGAAACCUUGUUCAAGUAGGAAACAUCAUCUUCAAAUCUUCAAUUUCGUCCAUCCUCUUGGCUCCAAGCAUAUGACAUUCAUUCCAAGCUCAACUUUGCUCCAAAAGGCUCCAAAAUGCAUCAUUUUGCAUACUUUGCCCUUAGAACCUGAAAACACAUAAAACUAGCUUAAAAGACUACUUUACUAAGCAAAAACACUAUAAAAGUACAAGAACGAGCUAAACUAAGGCGCAUAAAUAUGCUCCUAUCAAAUUCCCCCACACUUAGCUUUUGCUAGUCCUCGAGCAAAACAAAACGAAACAAAAGAACAAAACGAAAUAAAACAAGUAAAACAACCUAAACCUUCCAACAAUCGCCUCAGGGAUUUCCAAUGCACAUGACAUGUUAAAAAUCAUCAUUCCCACAGAUUUUAGCCAUCUUUACACUCAAGCCCAUACUUAAUCAUAGUCACUACUUACUAGUUCACAUUUAACCAACUAAAAUAAUGUUUUGAAUGUAGUAACAUGCCUUAGAGAAUCCCUCAAUUCCUUACUAGAUAUGCACUCUAUUUUCACUCAGAUUGUCUAACUACACACCCUACACUAGUUAUAUGUGAGAAGAUUGAUGUAAAAAUAAAAACGAAUGCUCACAUAUAUGUAUAACAAAGAAAGCAAUUUCCGGAGUUAAUAACAUGUUUAUAAAUAUGAUCUCAUGAAUGGAAUGCUACUACUUAGAUGCGAGAACCAAUGACACCAUAUGCUCAAACCAAUUUCAAACUCCACAAAUUGAAACACACAACACUCAAGAUUAAAGUCAAGGGUUGUAACGGGGCUCAAGGUAUUGGCUAACAAAAACAGAUAUGGAAAACAAACGUUCUUUAAAACAAUAGUAGGCAAAGUGUGGAAAUCGAAACUUAGAAUUCUCUUUAGCAUGCCGAAAUCAAAUUCAAAACAGAAGGGAAGACUCAAACAAUCAAUUAGGGCCGAAUGCAACUCUUUGGACCCUUUCUUCAACAAACAACACUUUGGAACUCUUUUUCACAUGCUCAUCAACUAUUUUGCAUGUUUUUCACAUUUUUCUUUUUUUCUUUCUAUUUUUCACGAUUUUUUUUUUUCUUUCUUUUCUCAUUUUUUCUCUUCUUUGCCGUGCCUCAUUCAAGACUUUGGCACAUCCCUAUAUCAUUAAUCCUUCCCCCACACUUGUUUCCCGCACAUAUUGAUCAAAAGGAAUUCAUCUUCCGUUAUGCUUUACUAUGUUUUAAGAACAAGGGUGUGGAUGGUCCUAAUCUAGGCUAGGUGAGGAUAAUGUGGUUAACAAGGGAAAUAGGCUAAACGAGGCUCAACGGGGUUAACACCUACAAAACAUAAUGGAAUAGGGAUAUACGGCUUUUGGGCUAUGGUGGACACUACACAACUUAAUCUUGAAUAUGUGUUAUGCAAAUCAAUGACAUGUUUUGAAUGAAAUGGGCAUGAGUUCUAGUGUUUGGUUCUAAGUGAUGAAACGCCUUCUAAGUAGCAACCAAGCAAAGAAUAAUGAGAUCAUGCAACGACUUUAGAAAACAAAGAAUGCACAGAUUUUAACUCUCCAAAUAAACGUUUAGGCUCAAGUCUCACAAGGUUGUAGCGUUAGUUUGAGUUACUUCCUUCAAGCAUGUUACAAAAACGGAUUUUUACUUUAUGAUUACAUGUGAAUUCAUAAGUUAUAACCACAACCAAGCAUAAACCAAAGAGUAAAUCAAACUUUUAUCCAUGUUUAUAACUCUCUUUAACCAUCAUGCAAUUACAAACCGAAUCCUCAUCAUUGUGUUGGAAGGUACCCUAAGACACAAACAAACACACAAAAACGACUCUUUUUGGGGUUUUUUUAAAACAAAUUUUCAAAUUUUUAUGGGAUUUUCGGAUUUUUGACUCAAAACACAUUAAAACACACCAAAACAGCUUAAAAAGGCUUAAAAACAGCAAGAAACAACAUUUGAAAUUAUGGGUGAUAAAACCCUACGAAUUUGUAUCAAAACACUUUGGUUACCCCCCCACACUUAAAUCAAACAUUGUCCUCAAUGUUGCAAGCAUAAACUAACACAAAUAACAAACAAACACACAAAACAGCAACUAAACAACCUAACAUGGCAGAAACGAAAUAACAACAAAGAGAAGGGUUUAGGAACGCAAAUCUGGAAUUGGAGUGCUCUCUAGGUCUUCCUUUGUUGAAUGCGUGGGUUGCCUCCCAAGAAGCGCUUUCUUUAACGUCUUGCAGCCGGACGAUGCUCCAUUGAAGGUUUAUGGAACCCCACGGCAUGGAGGGGUGUUUCCACAACCUGUCCUACGAAAUACUUCAUUCUUUGGGUCCUUGAAUGGGAUGGGAUAAUGAUCCUUUCUUAUUGUCAUGUUUUGCUUCUCUGAAUCAACACGAACUCUCCCACCACGUUGUCUUCGAUUAGGUACCUGCACCAUACAAGGUAACAACCUAUUAGUUGAAAUGGGAAUCGAAUUUGGAAUAGGUGGCUUACCUUUGUACGGCAAAGAAGUGGUAGCACUAUGGACAGAUGCACAAGGGUUGCACUCGGGCAGAUUUGAUGAUUUCAAGGUUGGAGCCGUGCACUCUUUGUUGUUCACUCCAAUUCCUUCCUCGAUGGUGGGUUGUGGUACAUUCUUCUUGACUAGUGUUGAAUAUUCCUGCCCUAUAUUUUCAAUUACAUUAAUAGCACAACAAGAACGAACAUCAUUAGUAUUCUCAACCGAUUCAGAAAUCUUAAAGUUAAUCAUAUCACCACCAAAUGCCAUAGUUACUGCUCCCUUGGCCACGUCAAUCUUGGUUUGAGCAGUUUUCAUGAAUGGUCGUCCAAGUAAGAGUGGUGAUGGUGGAGAGUGGGUUGAGUCCUCCAUAUCAAGCACAUAGAAAUCUGCAGGAAAAAUCAAAUGGUCUACCUGCACCAAAACAUCUUCCAACACUCCUUUGGGAUAUGCAUUAGAUCGAUCGGCUAAUUGAAUAAUAACACCAUCAUUUUUAAGCUUCCCUAGAUUCAUAGAUGCAUAAACAGAAUAUGGCAUGACAUUUAUAGAUGCACCUAGAUCUAACAUAGCAUGAUCAAACCUCGUAUUGCCAAUAACACAAGGGAUAGUGAAACUACCUGGAUCUUUGCAUUUAGGUGGUAACUUUCUUUGCAACAAUGCAGAUACAUUCUCACUUACGUGUACCACCUCUUUCUCCCGAAUCCGUUUCCUUGUUGUACAAAGCUUCUUCAAAAACUUGGCAUACUUCGGGAUUUGCUUUAUAGCAUCGAGGAGAGGGAUAUUGACAUGCACAUUUCUAAACGUCUCAAGAACGUCUUGUUCCUCUUCUUCGUUCUUGGCUUGCAAAAAUCUGCUAGGAAAGGGUACAUCCGGAGGAAUAACAUUAGAAUUAACUUGAAUUGUACCUGCCUUACCUUUAUUGGCCAAAUUGGAUGGCCUGGGUGGUUGAGGCAAGGAUUGCUCAAUCCUUGCCGUGGCUUUUGCUUGCUCCUCCUCUUCCAUUUGCAGCUUCUCGUUCUCCUUGAGGGCAGAUUUGGAUGGUUUUGGCUCGUUUCCUACUUCUUUCCCACUUCUUAGCGUGAUAGCCUUGGCAGUUUCGACUCCUCCCCUCGGAUUGACAACCGUUGAACUAGGCAACCUUCCUUGCUCACGAAAUUGCCCCAUGAACUCGGCAAUUUGUCCUACUUGCUUCUCCAACUCAUCCAUCCUUUUGUCUCUAUUUUGCAUACCUUGCGCCAUAGAAGUUAGUAAUUGAAAAAUCUGAUCAUUAUCAAUGGACGAACCUGAAUUGGUUUGGGUAGGUUGUGUGGGUGCAAACGGCUUUUGAUAGAAACCCGGAGGUUGUUGCCUAAAUGUGCUUUGUUGUUGGCCUUGUUGAGGGUCUCGCCAUUUGAAAUUCGGAUGAUCACGCCAACCGGGAUUGUAUGUAUUAGAAAAAGGGUCAUUCCUCGGUUGGUAUUGGUUGCCAAAACCCACGACAUUGAGGGUCUCCCACCCUCCAUUCUCAAUCAAUUGUGGGCACUUGUCCGUAGGGUGUCCUUGCAUGGAACAUACGCCACACGCACUUACAUUUUGAACUUUUGGCCCUUCCACAACCUGAGAAAGCAAAGUAGUAAGGUUAGCCAUUUGAUUUUGAAGUUCGGUUAUGGCACUUACCUCAUUCACUUGGUGUUGCCGUGUGGUGCCUCUUUGUCCAACACCUUCGUAUUGUUGAGCGUUCAACGCUCGAUUGGCAAUCAAAGUCUUUGCUGCCGUAGGGGUCUUGUCCACCAACGCUCCUCCCGCCGAGGCAUCUAGCAUUUGUCGUUCGAUGGUAGAAGUCCCUCGUAGAAGUAUUGCAGAAGAAGCUCCUCUUUCAUUUGAUGCUGUGGACAAGAAGCAACAAGAGAUUUAAAACGUUCAUAGUAUGUAGGAAAAGACUCACCUUCUUCUUGUUGAAUUCCACUUAUCCUUUUUCGUAGGAGAAUAACUCGAGAAGUUGGAAAAAACUUCUCCAAGAAAGCUCGUUUCAUGCUCUCCCAUGAUGUGACAGUUCCGGGAGCCAAUUCGUACAACCAAUCUUUCGCCUUCUCUAAGAGAGAAAAGGGAAAGGUCUUCAUCUUCAAGAUGCUCUCAUCCACGUUCACCGGAGUCAUGCUUGAGCAAACGACUUCAAAUUCCUUCAAGUGCUUGUUCGGAUCUUCCAUGGACAGCCCAUGGUACUUCGGAAUGUGAUGUAACAAGCUUGACUUCAAUUCGAACUCGGCAGUUUUGUCCGGAGCCGCCCUAGGGUAUUAAAUACAUAGAGGUGCGGCAUUGUCCAAUCCCGAAGCGGAAAGCUCCUUGAUCGUUCGGUUGUCCACUGCCAUGUCUUCCACUUCCUCUUCAAAUUCAGAAACGGACUUGGAACUUGCACUUGAUUUACUAGGUUCCGGGUUCUUCCUCUUUCGUCUCAACUCACGCUCAAAAUCGUCGUCAAAGUCUAAAAUAUGUUCGUGAACCGGAUUAGAACUCCGAGUCAUAAACAAGUACCCAAAACAAGAAACAAAAUAACAUAAGAAUCUGAUCUAAUAAGAAAACGAAAAUAACAAUCCAAGGGAUUAGCAAAGUUGCUAAUCCCCAGCAACGGCGCCAAAAUUUGAUGUGUAAAUUAACUAGCACUCAAAUUAAACCCUCUUUUUAUCAAUUGUAGCAAUGUAUGUAAGUAGGGAUCGUUCUAGACCGGGGAUUAGGAGGGAUUGCAAAAUCACUUGGACAUGACUCAAAAACGUAAAAAACAAGUUUUAAACACUAAAAUAGACUCAAAGAAUGCAAAACUAAACUUUAAAACACCAAAACAAACCAAAAGACUCAAAACAGCACCAAAACACUCAAAACUGCCUUAAAAACACAAUCUGGGCAGUUUUGGACACUAAGCACCAAAUUGGACGAAUUUGGGUUUUAACUUGAAUCAAAACACUUAAAAACACAAAGUAAAACACUUACUAACUAAUUUGACACUUUAAAACAAAGGGGGAUUGGUUUUGGCCGAAUUUAAAAACAAAACAAACUUUGUAAAUUAGAACAGAUUAUAAAAACGAAUUUGAUUUAAAUGGGUGAAUGGAAGGCUAGCUAAGGGGUUCAUCUCCACACAUGUUAUACUUGCAUACGAAAUUUCCAAUUGCUUUUCAAUAAACCAUGAAUUCUCAAUGCCCCAAGUUAAUUAGGUCCGCUUAAAUUAACCUUCAGAUUUUCCUAACGUUAUUGAAUUGGAUGAUUGCAUACGACAACCCAAAACAUUCCCCACAAGUCCCCUACAUGAUUGCAUAAUAGAGAUACAAGCAAGAAUCAUUAAGUUCUAUGAAAACCAUAAGCAUUGACGAAGCACUUGUUACUAUGAUUGCAUGAAACUUAUGCCAAGAAUUUACUUAACGCGAUUGAGAUCAUCAACCUUUACUACUUGUGAAUAUAAUUCCAUAACGAUUAGGUGAAAUUUCCUUAUAUCCUAGCAUUCAAUUUAUGCAUGAUAAUUAAGCGUGCACUCUCAACCAACACACACAAAUCAAUGUAAUCCACAUAGAUAAGUAAAUUGAAUUCACAACUUAUGAAACGCAAUUAGAAGUAAUCAAAUCAUAACGCAAGCAUAAACAUGUAUUUCGAAUCCCCCCCAAGCCAAGGGGGGGUUUAGUUCCUCAUACGCACAAAACAAAGAGAAUUGAAUUUAAACAUUGAAAUCAAAGGAAAAGAAACACCUAGAAAUUCCAGCGACACGAACUUGAAUUGCAUGAACUUCCGAGCUUCCUUCUCCUCCUCCUUGGUGCGGCAAGGGUCUAGGGACAGGUUUAGAGCCUUAGGGGUAUGGAUGCAUGGCUAUGGAGGGAUGUAGUAGUGUUUAGGGGAAGGGAAUGGUGCGGCAAAGGUGUGGAGAGAGUUUGGACGAAUUUCUGGAGUGAUUUGUGAAUUGUGGUGAGUGGUGAUCUGAUUUAGGGGUUAAUAGGAGUAUAUAUAGGCACUUAAAACCCUAGGGUAAUCAGAUAUGGACUUGGAUAACCCAAAUCCACAAGGAAAUAGGUCUAAACAAUCAGAUUUUGCAAGGGAAAAGGGGUCCUAGGUGCGGCAGGGAUAGGAUAAGGUGAUAAGGUUUCUAGAAUGCCUUGCAAGGCAAGGAACUAGGCAUCUAGAAGCUAGGGUGCGGCACCAAUGUAGGGAUUUAAGGAGAGGGCUUCUAGAAAGCCCCAAAACUGAUAGGAAUUGCAUGAAAUCCACGGCAAGGAUGUAAACUUUCUAGAAACUUCUCAUUUGUGUCCUACAACACUUUGGAGUCCUUCUAGCAUUAGGAAAACAUGUCUCAAUCCUCCCUUGACUUGGAAUUCUUCUCCUUCUUGGAUUUGGAAAACUUCUUUGUUGCUGAAACUUGAUGCCAUUUGGAUUUAACUUUCCUACUUCAAGUAGGAAACCUUGUUUGAGUAGGAAUCUUCAUCUUCAAG
This 7715-nucleotide long non-coding RNA is filed under the name Malus domestica (apple). RNAcentral describes it as "long non-coding RNA (MDOM_LNC017792)". Lineage: Eukaryota; Viridiplantae; Streptophyta; Magnoliopsida; Rosales; Rosaceae. The record is from RNAcentral.